This 2213-nucleotide long non-coding RNA is filed under the name Gossypium barbadense (sea-island cotton). RNAcentral describes it as "long non-coding RNA (GBAR_LNC002804)". The record is from RNAcentral. Lineage: Eukaryota; Viridiplantae; Streptophyta; Magnoliopsida; Malvales; Malvaceae.
CCGAAUUUUGCUCUCCUCCAUAGCUGGGGUUUCUUCAAUUUCCAAGCUCCAUAGUAAGUGAUUCCAAGCCCCGUUUUUAAUGAUCUUUACGUUUUUGGAGUCCCGGUAACUUGAUUAAGCUUAUUCUAGCAAUAAUUCAACCUAGGGUUCAUAUUUGGAAAAAUACCCAUAGAUGAAAUUUGUGUAUUUUGGUGUUUUAUUAUAGAAUAUGAGGUUUUAAAUUAUGUUAGACAACUUGUGCUACUCGGUUUUAAGUGAAAACGAGUAAAAUGGCUUAAUUGGUAAAAAUACCUAAUAGUCAUAAGUACAUGUUAGAGUGUGAAUUUGAUGUUGCCGUAGAAGGGAAAAAUGAUCAGCAUGUCAUAAAACAUAAGAAAAUAGGAUGAAGUUUAAUUUACGAGCCUUGGGGCAAAAGUGCAAAUAUGUGAAAGUUUAGAGGCAAAAAUGUAAUUUUGCCAAAGUUUGAGUCACGGACUGUUUUAAUACAUGUGAGUAUUAAAAAAGCUAAAUUUUUUAUAUAGAUCAAGAAGAACAAAAUCUGGAGUUAGACCGAGGAAAGAAGAAGAUAGUGGACUAAAUCGAUAUAGUUGAUCGUAUUUUGUUUUGAGGUAAGUUUGCGGUAAAUAAAUGUAAUAUUCUAUUAUUUUAUGUUAAUUUUGUUAAUUUCCAGCAUGUGUAUAUUUAUUUUAUGAAAUUAUUCAAAGAAGACUCAAGCAUGAAUUGACGGAGAAGUAAUUUCAGAAAGUCCCGGUUGAACCUUAGGAAUGUGUAGGAUACAAAUGUCAUGACAUUAGGGUUUAAGGAUACCAUGUAAGACCAUGCUAAGGCAUGGCAAUUGGUAAGGUUUAUAAGGCAAGGAAAUCAUGUAAGACCAUGUCAAGACACGGCAUUGAUAAGUUACUAUAAGGCAAAGGUUCCAUGUAAGACCAUGCCAAGGCAUAGCAUUGGUGAGUUCAUAAGGCAAGGAUACCAUGUAAGACCAUGUCAAGACAUGGCAAUGGUAAGUUUCAAAAGGAUACCACGUAAGACCAUGACAAGUCAUGGCAAUGGUAAGGUACCCGUGUAUCCUUAGUAUUCCAAGUGGUUCAACAGGAAAAUUUAAAGAGAAUAUCGAGGUAAGGUAAGGUAAGACAAGUUCAUGCUAGAAGAGCAAAGGUAAGUACAUAAUGUUCAUGUAUGCUUGAUAAGGAAAAAGGUAAGUAAAAUGUAUUAAUAAAUUUGAUUAAGUAAGUAAGUAUUUAAGUAAGUGAGUAAGUGAAGAAGUUUAAAAUAUGUCUAUGACAAUUAAUGAAGCUGCAUUAAGUAGUAAGAUAAUUCUUAUGAAUGUUGUUAUUUAUUUGCAUGCAAACUUACUAAGCUUAAUGCUUACCCCCUUUAUUUUCCUUCUUUUUAUAGUUUUGUCAAGCUAACUCGGGGAUCGUAAAGUACGUCGGAGGUCCAGGCACACUAUCACAAGGGUAAUUUUGGUAUAGCUAGACGUUUCAUUUUGAGUAUGGCAUGUAUAGUAUCGUAGCCAUUUUGUGUGUAUGAUCUUAUGAUAUGGCUGAUGAAUGGUAUGUAAAUGUUUGAUAAUUAUUAGCUGUUGGAAUGGCUAAUCAAGGACAUGUUUGGUGUUAUGUAUGUGUAAAUGCUAGUUAUUCCAUGGAAAUCAUGAAAAAGGUGAAAUUAGCACAAAACAGAAUCAGACAGUAGCAGUGACGUGAAUUUGAAAAAUCACUAAAAAUAGUAGAACUAGAAUUAAAUGAUGAAUAAGUUAUGAAAUUAAAUAUUAUUAUGUCAAUUUUCAAAUGGAAGAGACAAAAUAGGUAAAUGAGUUAUACUUUAUGAGAUAUUUAAGUUUUUGUGAAACAGGGCCAGAGCGAUUUCUGGAUCCCCUUUUCUGAAUUCGGAAAUUAACCAUAAAUUGUAAAAAAAUUAUUAAGAGUCAUACCUUACAUGCAUGGAUUCCUUAUUGAGUCUAUUUUUAAGCGAAACAAACGGUAUGGUCAUUGAAAUUAUGUACAUGGAGAAAUUUGAUUCGUAGUGCACAGGGGUCAGAGUAGUCAUACCUUGAAACAGGGGAGACUUUAACUAAUAAACUGUACUAAAUGGCUCAACCAAAAAUUCUGGAAAUUUUAUGGAAGAAAUAUAAAUGAGUCUAGUUUCAGAGUAAAUUUACGGAAUUGGAUUUCGUAUUUUGGAACUCAAUAUAUGAAUUUUUAAGCGACUAGGAC